This 253-nucleotide ribosomal RNA is filed under the name uncultured bacterium. RNAcentral describes it as "partial 16S ribosomal RNA". It matches the Rfam family "Bacterial small subunit ribosomal RNA", at positions 524 to 776 of the family's 1533-position model. The record is from RNAcentral.
UACAGGGGGUGCAAACGUUGUCCGGAAUUACUGGGCGUAAAGAGCUCGUAGGUGGUUUGUCGCGUUGUUCGUGAAAACUCACAGCUCAACUGUGGGCGUGCGGGCGAUACGGGCAGACUGGAGUACUGCAGGGGAGACUGGGAUUCCUGGUGUAGCGGUGGAAUGCGCAGAUAUCAGGAGGAACACCGGUGGCGAAGGCGGGUCUCUGGGCAGUAACUGACGCUGAGGAGCGAAAGCGUGGGGAGCGAACAGG